This 2688-nucleotide long non-coding RNA is filed under the name Homo sapiens (human). RNAcentral's name for it is "HSALNT0362493". Lineage: Eukaryota; Metazoa; Chordata; Mammalia; Primates; Hominidae. The record is from RNAcentral.
GACUCUAAAUGUUAGUGGAAACAGUUAAUCUGGAUGCAGCCUCUAAUGGGUACAUGAAAUCAUCUUACCACAGCUCCCACAGCAAGCAGAGCCUAACAUCACCCAGGUCAUGAGGCUCCAGAUAUAAAAUAAACUCCUUUCAUGUUGGGACAAAUAAAAGAGGCAAUGAAGGAUAAAGGGAUGAUAGGUGAGGGCUUUUAUAGAUCAUAAUUCAAACAGUAUUUCAGUACUGCUUAGCUGUGAAACCCUGGGCAAGUUACUGAACCUCUCUGAACUUUGGUUUUCUCAUCUGUAACCUGAGAUGACAUCAACCUCAUAGAUUCACUGUGAAGAGUAAAUAGAAUAAUAAGUCCAGGCACAGUGGCUCAAGCCUGUAAUCCCAGCACUUUGGGAGGCUCAAGCGGGUGGAUCACCUGAGGUCAGGAGUUCGAGACCAGCCUGACCAACAUGGUGAAACCCCGUCUACCAAAAAUACAAAAUCAGCUGGGCGUGGUGGCGCAUGCCUGUAGUUCCAACUACUUGGGAGGCUAAGGCAGGAGAAUCGCUUGAACCCGGGGGUGGAGGUUGCAGUGAGCUGAGAUGACACCAUUGCACUCUAGCCUGGGCUACAACAGCAAAACUCCAUCUCGAAAAAAGAAAAAAAAAAGAAUAACUAAUAAAAUGCCUGGCCCUGUUUUAUUUAAACAAUUGGUAGUCUUCUGAGACUAUGCUAAUUCUAGGAAAAGCUACAGCUCAUUAUGACUGUAUCAAAAUAAACACAGCUAAUGAGGGUUCUUUCUCCCACUGAAUAUGUGUUUAUUUCAACAAUGCCAACGCAGCUCAAAAUAAUUUUGGAUAUCUUUCUUAAGAUACCUUCUGAAAGCCCACGGAAGAUUCUCUUAAACUGCCUUGGUAGCAAAUCUUCACUCUUUGAAGGUGCAUCUGAUUUUGUGAAAGAGCCAAAGCUUACCUGAAGCCGUAUCUAGUUAACAAUGAGAUAUGACCAAAACAAUAAAACUGGUUUUCUUGAGUGACUUGCUUUAAAAUAACAGUUCCAAAAAAGGUUAUAACCAUGGCAGAGCCAUUGUUCCAGCAGAAGCUCCUCUGAAGAAAUUCAUCUAGAUGUGUAAGUUCUAUUUGUUUUAAAUGUCUCAUUAUUUUAUAGUGACAAUUAGUAUACUCAUGCAUUAAGGCGAUGUUAAUGUUUCAAUGUUUUUAAAUGUUUUUAAAACAAUGACUAAUGCCUAAUAUACCCUAAAUAGUAUAUGCUUUAACUACUGAAAUCUAUCCUAGGCCACGUAUGGUGGCUUACGCCUGUAAUCCCAGCACUUUGGGAGGCCAAGGCAGGUGGAUCACGAGGUCAAGAGAUCGAGACCAUGCUGAAUAACACGGUGAAACCUCGUCUCUACUAAAAAUACAAAAAAAAAAAAAAAUUAGCUGGGCAUGGUGGCACGUGCCUGUAGUCCCAGCUACUCGGGAGGCUGAGGCAGAAGAAUGGCGUGAACCCUGGAGGCGGAGCUUGCAGUGAGUGGAGAUCACGCCACUGCACUCCAGCUUGAGUGACAGAGUGAGACUCUGUCUCAAAACACAAAACAAAAAAAAACAAAAAAAGAAAUUUACCCUAGUGUAGCAAUUUGUAACAUUAUACACAAUAAUCUACAAUAUGUAAUAUACAUGAAGUAUAAUAAUAUAAUGUAGCACUCACAGCACAGAAGUCCAGGCUAGGCGCAAUUCUAAUGUCAAGUUAUUAUGUGGCACUAAGAAAAAAUAUUCAGGCCAGACGUGGUGGCUCACACCUGUAAUCCCAGCACUUUGAGAGGCUAAGGUGGGGCAGGUGGAUCACCUGAGGUCAGGAGUUCGAGACCAGCCUGACCAACAUGAUGAAACCCCAUCUCUAUUAAAAAUACGAAAAAAGUAGCCAGGCUUGGUGGCACAUGCCUGUAAUCCCAGCUACUUGGGAGGCUGAGGCAGGAGAAUCUCUUGAACCCAGGAGGUAGAGGUUACAGUGAGCCAAGAUAGCACCAUUGCACUCCAGCCUGGGCAACAAAAGCAAAACUCUGUCUCAAAAAGAAAAAAAUAUUCAAUCUUCCUAGGUCUCAUUUCCUCAUCUAAAAAACUUGGGAAAUAGCAGCUACUAUAUCUGACAGAAAGGUUAGGAACUAUACCUGAAAAUAUUUUGAUGCUAGAAAUACUAAUAAAAAGGAGAUAUUAUCAAAUUUUUGCUCCCCAAGAAUUUAAGGGGCAGAAGUUACCUAUUUGAAAUAAGGGAGUAGACUUUUUUAAACUUUAAGUUUGGGGUACAUAUGCAGGUUUGUUAUAUAGGUACGCUUUUGUCAUAGGGGUUUGUUAUACAGAUUAUUUCAUCACCCAGGUGUUAAGUCUAGUGCCCAUUAGUUAUUUUUCCUGUUCCUCUCCCUCCUCCCACCCUCCACCCACCGACAAGCCCCAGUGUCUAUUGUUCCCUUCUGUGUGUCCCUGUGUUCUCAUCAUUCGGCUCCCACUUACAAGUGAGAACAUGCAGUAUUUGGUUUUCUGUUCCCACGUUAGUUUGCUGAUGAUAAAGAUCUCUAGUUCCAUCCAUGUUCCCGCAAAGGACAUGCUUUCAUUCCUUUUAAUGGCUGCAUAGUAUUCCAUAAUGUAUAUGUACUACAUUUUCUUUCUCUAGGGGAGUAAACUAUUUUAAGAGACUAUAACUCAGUGAUAAUUACG